AUUUUUCUGAUUGUGCCGAUUCUCGAAUAAAGGUCCAUGUAAGAUCAGGAUUUUGAUUUGCCUGGCAAAAAGGGAAUCAAGCUAAACUUUUGCAAAUUUUCCCGUGAUGUAAUCAAAUAAUAUUUCGUAAAAACAAGACAGAAAUCCGGCCCUACAGAGUUUUUGGUGGCUUCCUGAUGCGUCAACAGCUUGAGCUACAGCUGUCGUGGGCUGCUGGCUAUUACCUGUGUGCAUCAGCAAGUUCAGGCCCAAGCUUUGCCACAUCAGCGACAUCGGCUUUCACAAACCUGUGGAUGUCGGAUCCAGGUCGGUUCCCUGCUGCGGUUAAAAGCCUUUGUCAACUACACAGAGUCAAAUUAUUUGCAGAACAGUGAGAACAGUCAGAAAUUUCACGAAAUAAUCAACAUUUUCAACAACUG
This is a long non-coding RNA of Cloeon dipterum, 419 nucleotides long. RefSeq lists it as uncharacterized. The record is from RefSeq and is a predicted model, not a curated record. The transcript has 3 exons. NCBI's taxonomy places the organism in Eukaryota, Metazoa, Arthropoda, Insecta, Ephemeroptera, Baetidae.